Molecule: unclassified non-coding RNA, 335 nt
Filed under: soil metagenome
Description: partial contains 5.8S ribosomal RNA, internal transcribed spacer 2, and large subunit ribosomal RNA
Rfam family: 5.8S ribosomal RNA (bases 1-120)
Source: RNAcentral
GAUGAAGAACGUAGCGAAAUGCGAUAAGUAGUGUGAAUUGCAGAAUUCAGUGAAUCAUCGAAUCUUUGAACGCACAUUGCGCCCCUUGGUAUUCCAUGGGGCAUGCCUGUUCUAGCGUCAUUUGUACCUUCAAGCUCUGCUUGGUGUUGGGUGUUUGUCCUUGCUCUAGUGGCGGGACUCGCCUUAAAGUAAUUGGCAGCCAGUGUUUUGGUUUUGAAGCGCAGCACAAGUCGCGAUUCAAGUCUAUACGCUAGUUUCCACAAGUCUUUUAUCACUUUUGACCUCGGAUCAGGUAGGGAUACCCGCUGAACUUAAGCAUAUCAAUAAGCGGAGGA